This 253-nucleotide ribosomal RNA is filed under the name uncultured bacterium. Its description in RNAcentral is "partial 16S ribosomal RNA". It matches the Rfam family "Bacterial small subunit ribosomal RNA", at positions 524 to 776 of the family's 1533-position model. The record is from RNAcentral.
GACGGAGGAGGCAAGCAUUGUCCGGAAUUAUUGGGCGUAAAGAACACGUAGGCGGUUUGUCAAGUCAUAUGUGAAAACCUUGGGCUUAACUUAAGGAUUGCAUAUGAUACUGGCAAACUAGAGUAUAGUAGAGGAAAGCGGAAUUCCUGGUGUAGCGGUGAAAUGCGCAGAUAUCAGGAAGAACACCAGUGGCGAAAGCGGCUUUCUGGACUGUUACUGACGCUGAGGUGUGAAAGCUAGGGGAGCGAACAGG